This 416-nucleotide unclassified non-coding RNA is filed under the name soil metagenome. Its description in RNAcentral is "partial contains 5.8S ribosomal RNA, internal transcribed spacer 2, and large subunit ribosomal RNA". The stretch from base 1 to 120 matches the Rfam family "5.8S ribosomal RNA", at positions 35 to 154 of the family's 154-position model. The record is from RNAcentral.
GAUGAAGAACGCAGCUAAAUGCGAUAAGUAAUGUGAAUUGCAGAAUUCAGUGAAUCAUCGAAUCUUUGAACGCACCUUGCGCUCUUUGGUAUUCCGAAGAGCAUGCCUGUUUGAGUGUCAUGAAACUCUCAACUCCCAACUUUCUUAAUAGUCGGUUGGGAGCUUGGACUUGAGCGUUGCUGGUCUUUAUUGACCGGCUCGCUUGAAAUGAAUUAGCAGAUCCUUUUUGUAAUCGGUUCCACUCGACGUGAUAAGUAUUUCGCCGAGGACAUCUUAACGGAUGGCCGAGAUAAAGAAAGUCUUUAGAUCCGCUUCUAAUUCUUAGAUAGAGCUUGCUCUACUAAACCCCUUUUAUGAUCUGGCCUCAAAUCAGGUAGGACUACCCGCUGAACUUAAGCAUAUCAAUAAGCGGAGGA